Camponotus floridanus (Florida carpenter ant) is the source of this 72-nucleotide non-coding RNA. The record is from Rfam. Lineage: Eukaryota; Metazoa; Arthropoda; Insecta; Hymenoptera; Formicidae.
GGCUGAAUAGCUCAGUGGUAAGAGCAGUCGGCCGACAAGCGAAAGACUCGGAUUCGACUUCCGAUUCAGCGA